RNAcentral lists this ribosomal RNA (246 nucleotides) under Ochromonas sp. CCMP1393. Its description in RNAcentral is "partial Eukaryotic large subunit ribosomal RNA". It matches the Rfam family "Eukaryotic large subunit ribosomal RNA", at positions 622 to 870 of the family's 3401-position model. The record is from RNAcentral. Lineage: Eukaryota; Chrysophyceae; Chromulinales; Chromulinaceae.
GAUGCUGGCGUAAUGGUCGCCGGCGACCCGUCUUGUAACACGGACCAAGGAGUCUAACAUCUAUGCGAGUGUUUGGGUGUCAAGCCCGAGCGCGUAAUGAAAGUGAACGGAGGUGGGAACCCGCAAGGGUGCACCAUCGACCGAUCCUGAUGUCUUCGGAAGGAUUUGAGUAAGAGCAUGGCUGUUGGGACCCGAAAGAUGGUGAACUAUGCUUGAAUAGGGUGAAGCCAGAGGAAACUCUGGUGG